Molecule: long non-coding RNA, 2482 nt
Organism: Elaeis guineensis (African oil palm)
Lineage: Eukaryota; Viridiplantae; Streptophyta; Magnoliopsida; Arecales; Arecaceae
Source: RefSeq, a predicted model, not a curated record
AUUUGAACACUGGCCUACUUUUGCAUGGUGUAUCUUAAUUUAGUUCCAUGUCUACAAAGCAGUACAUUAGGACCUUUAAUAGUUGAUGCAAAGUACUUCUAUCAGCAAUAUAUCACUGUAAAACAAAAUAAAAAACAUGACAACAGAAAAUUUGACAAGCUCCAAGAAAGUUACAGCAUUAGCAUAUUGGUUCUUGAUCUGGGAUGAAGAUCCACAUGCUGCCCACAUCCCAGAUGCAAAAAAAAAAAAAAAGUCAUCGGUGGGGGAGUAGACAUUUAACUGUCUUUGAAUGUAGCCUAGCUCAAUAAUUAUUUCAGUACUGUUUUUGAGCUGUUGUAGCUGAUAUAGUUUUUCUUGACUGAAAUGUUCAUAUAUUACCCUUUACAACUCUCAUACUUUAAUCAUUCAAACUUUGAGCAAUGCUAUGAUGACAAACACUAUGAUAGACAAGCCCUCACAACUUGCCGGCAGGGGACCGCCAGGCUUGUGAUCCUUCCUUUCCAAAAUGGGAAAGUGGUUAGGAUUAUGGCUCAUACCUUUUGCCAUCAUAUUAUUACUAAAAAAAAUUUCAUGCUUUCUUGAUAUGCAAAAAACACCCUGUAACUGUAGCUGUCCCUUACUUUUCCAAUGAAUUGAAUAAGUUAUCCAACACAUCUCACCAGAGUGAGUUGCUACAAAGCCUCUCCUAAAGAGAUUGAAUUGGGAUAAUAUCAUCCUACAUGGCAGGAUAGUGCUAUAUAUCAAACUUAUAUGUGAUCUUCUGUAUAAGCACUCGAUUAAGUGCCUGGUCUUGUAUUGACCACAAGUCAGUGACAAAAGCUAUGGGCAGACGUCCUUGUUGACCACCAUGCCAACCACAUAUACUGUGAUCUGACAAAUCAAUGUUUUGUGGGACCCAUCACAAAGUCGGCAGGCCCCAAUGUCUGAUGAUGUCUCAAUGGAGCACUGUUAGAUGAUUGCAGAAUGUUCAGUACAGGUUGCUAUAGGAUAUUCCUACCCAUAAAAUACAAGAAGACAUGUCAUAGAAGUGGUUGCUCAAACUUGUUGUCAUCUUAUAAAAGAGGGAUCAAAGUUUUGCCUCCCUUUUUUCUUAUUUUCUAAUCCAUCCGAGUUGUGUCAAAAUAUUAAUCAGUUCAUUCUCCCAUCCAUAGAGAUGUUAGGUGUUACCAAACAAAGAAAAAAACGAAAUAUUGAGUAAUUUGUGUUCAAGAAUUCUUUUUUUAAAAAAAAAUUCACUUGUUUGUGUUGUAGUGAACAUCCUUGGGGCUCAAAUUGAAAUUUAGUAGUUCAGGAUGCAGAUAAUAUUGUUUAUAACAUGUUCUCUAGCUAUGUAAAGCCAGAAAGCAUGAGCUAAAUAUACAUAUUUUAGCCUAUAUUUUAUUAUUUAGUCUUAGUUCCUAUAUUGGAUCAAAUGGACAAGGGGACUGGAUUUUGCUGAAUCCAUUUUGUUCCCCGUUUAGAAGGAUCUUAUAGGCUCUUGAACAAUGAACAUGAUAGACUAUGGCUGAAGAAACAAACCUGAUAGCAAUCCUUUUGGGAUCCCGGACAAGGAGUUGUGUUUUUGAGUCUAUGUAAGCCAAGAAAAACGUCAGAACAAUGUCGAUGGCAAAAAAUAUGUCGAUGAUGCUGUCUGUGAUGCAGAGAACUCCCUUUGGAGAAGAAUUCAUGAAUGCAACCUCAAAGGGAUAGACCCAUGCAGAGUAAGCGACGAGGAUCACCAUGAAGGCUUCCCAGCACCUGAAAGAAACAAAAUGUUGCAAAGAAUAUGUGUUACAGGUCCUCUGUAUUUUUGACAAAUUUUUUUACCUCACAAGAACACACUUAAAUGCUGCUGAGAUGAGAACUUGUUGACUAUUUAGAGCAUAAAGAAUGAAGUUGUUUGCACCUAUAUCUGGAAUCCAUUGGGGAGACGAUCCUCCCUCCGGAUUCCGCCUGCGUCUGAUUGUAACCUGGUGCACCCAAUGGAGGAAGUACGACCUUCGAGAGGUUACGAAGAUUGAAUGAUGCCUCAGGCUUUAAUCUUUCAUUUCCCCGCUUGCUAAAAUUAUUUGCUUCAUUUGCACUCUCGAAGCUUGGACCAUGCAUCGGCUUCAUCUUGCUCAAGGACCAAUUCAUCAUCUGGCUUGCAGAUGUUUCAGGAGCAGAUGAAAAUGAAAUAUAAAGUGUGGAGGAGCAUGCCUCAAAUAAUAGAGGUGGGGAGCUGCAGGUGGGCCUUGGAGGGACCCAUUAUUACAGGGAUAUCUAUGAAUCAUAUAUCUGCAUUUACUAAGCAUUGAUUCUUAUAGGAAAUGUAGCCUGAUGUGGUGGUUUAGGUGGGUAGGUUUGUAUGGCAAAAUGUCUGGCCUUAUCAUUUCUUUGGUAUUACUAUUUUCAACAGGAUGUGCGAACCAUGUCGGCUUUCUUUCUGCCAGGUCCACGUAAAAAGCUUGUUAAACACAAGAACUCUUUGAAGUGUAUAAAAAGAUUCCUGUUUUAUCUUGGU